AUGAAGAUGGCGACUUGCUUUCGUAAGGUGGCCUCGGAGGAGUUUGGAGUGUCCAGGGGAAGGAGAAGCGAAGAUAAGGAUACCUGGUGGUGGAAUGAUGAUGUCCAGAAGGCGCUUAAAGAGAAGAAAGAUUGCUUCAGACGCCUAUACCUGGAUAGGAGUGCAGACAACAUAGAGAAGUACAAGAUGGCGAAGAAGGCCGCAAAGCGAGCUGUUGGUGAAGCAAGGGGUCGGGCAUAUGAGGACCUCUACCAACGGUUAGGCACGAAGGAAGGUGAAAGGGACAUAUAUAAGAUGGCUAAGAUCCGGGAGAGGAAGACGAGGGAUAUUGGCCAAGUCAAAUGCAUCAAGGACGGAGCAGGCCAACUCUUGGUGAAGGAUGAAGAGAUUAAGCAUAGAUGGCGGGAGUACUUCGAUAAGCUGUUCAAUGGGGAGAAUGAGAGUUCUACCAUUGAACUGAAUGACUCCUUUGAUGAGACCAGCAUGCGUUUUGUGCGGCGCAUCCAGGAGUCUGAGGUGAAGGAGGCUUUAAAAAGGAUGAAAGGAGGCAAGGUGAUGGGCCCUGAUUGUAUCCCCAUUGAGGUGUGGAAAGGUCUCGGGGACAUAGCGAUAGUAUGGCUAACCAAGCUUUUCAACCUCAUUUUUCGGGCAAACAAGAUGCCAGAAGAAUGUAGACGGAGUAUAUUAGUACCAAUCUUCAAGAACAAGGGGGAUGUUCAGAGUUGUACUAAUUACCGUGGAAUUAAGCUGAUGAGCCAUACAAUGAAGCUAUGGGAGAGAGUCAUUGAGCACCACUUAAGAAGAAUGACAAGCGUGACCAAAAAUCAGUUUGGUUUCAUGCCUGGGAGGUCGACCAUGGAAGCCAUUUUCUUGGUACGACAACUUAUGGAGAGAUAUAGGGAGCAUAAGAAGGACUUGCAUAUGGUGUUCAUUGACUUGGAGAAGGCCUAUGAUAAGAUACCGCGGAAUGUCAUGUGGUGGGCCUUGGAGAAACACAAAGUCCCAGCAAAGUACAUUACCCUCAUCAAGGACAUGUACAAUAAUGUUGUGACAAGUGUUCGAACAAGUGAUGUCGACACCGAUGACUUCCCGAUUAAGAUAGGACUGCAUCAGGGGUCAGCUUUGAGCCCUUAUCUUUUUGCAUUGGUGAUGGAUGAGGUCACAAGGGGUAUACAAGGAGAUAUCCCAUGGUGUAUGCUCUUUGCGGAUGAUGUGGUGCUAGUUGACGAUAGUCGGACGGGGGUAAAUAGGAAGUUAGAGUUAUGGAGACAAACCUUGGAAUCGAAAGGGUUUAGGCUUAGUAGAACUAAAACCGAGUACAUGAUGUGCGGUUUCAGUACUACUAGCUAUGAGGAGGAGGAGGUUAGCCUUGAUGGCCAGGUGGUACCUCGGAAGGACACCUUUCGGUAUUUGGGGUCAAUGUUGCAGGAGGAUGGGGGUAUUGAUGAAGAUGUGAACCAUCGAAUCAAAGCCGGAUGGAUGAAGUGGCGCCAAGCUUCUGGCAUUCUCUGUGACAAGAGAGUGCCACAAAAGCUAAAAGGCAAGUUCUACAGGACGGCGGUUCGACCCGCAAUGUUGUAUGGCGCGGAGUGUUGGCCGACUAAAAGGCGACAUGUUCAACAGUUAGGUGUGGCGGAGAUGCGUAUGUUGAGAUGGAUGUGUGGCCACACGAGGAAGGAUCGAGUCCGGAAUGAUGAUAUACGAGAUAGAGUUGGGGUAGCACCAAUUGAGGAGAAGCUUGUCCAACAUCGUUUGAGAUGGUUUGGGCAGAUUCAGCGCAGGCCUCCAGAAGCUCAGUGCAUAGCGGACGGCUAA
RNAcentral lists this ribosomal RNA (1815 nucleotides) under Triticum aestivum (bread wheat). RNAcentral's name for it is "partial small subunit ribosomal RNA". Lineage: Eukaryota; Viridiplantae; Streptophyta; Magnoliopsida; Poales; Poaceae. The record is from RNAcentral.